CCUACGGGCGGCAGCAGUGGGGAAUAUUGGACAAUGGGCGAAAGCCUGAUCCAGCCAUGCCGCGUGUGUGAAGAAGGCCUUCGGGUUGUAAAGCACUUUCAGUGGGGAAGAAAGCCUUGGGGCUAAUACCCUCGAGGAAGGACAUCACCCACAGAAGAAGCACCGGCUAACUCCGUGCCAGCAGCCGCGGUAAUACGGAGGGUGCGAGCGUUAAUCGGAAUUACUGGGCGUAAAGCGCGCGUAGGCGGUCUGAUAAGCCGGUUGUGAAAGCCCCGGGCUCAACCUGGGAACGGCAUCCGGAACUGUCAGGCUAGAGUGCAGGAGAGGAAGGUAGAAUUCCCGGUGUAGCGAUGAAAUGCGUAGAGAUCGGGAGGAAUACCAGUGGCGAAGGCGGCCUUCUGGACUGACACUGACGCUGAGGUGCGAAAGCGUGGGUAGCAAACAGGAUUAGAUACCCGGGUAGUC
Molecule: ribosomal RNA, 465 nt
Filed under: Vreelandella stevensii
Lineage: Bacteria; Pseudomonadati; Pseudomonadota; Gammaproteobacteria; Oceanospirillales; Halomonadaceae
Description: partial 16S ribosomal RNA
Rfam family: Bacterial small subunit ribosomal RNA
Source: RNAcentral